UACGUAGGGUGCGAGCGUUAAUCGGAAUUACUGGGCGUAAAGCGUGCGCAGGCGGUUUUUUAAGUCAGAUGUGAAAUCCCCGGGCUUAACCUGGGAAUGGCAUUUGGGACUGCAAGGCUUGAGUGCGGCAGAGGAGACUGGAAUUCCUGGUGUAGCAGUGAAAUGCGUAGAUAUCAGGAGGAACACCGAUGGCGAAGGCAGGUCUCUGGGCUGACACUGACGCUCAUGCACGAAAGCGUGGGGAGCAAACAGG
RNAcentral lists this ribosomal RNA (253 nucleotides) under uncultured bacterium. RNAcentral describes it as "partial 16S ribosomal RNA". It matches the Rfam family "Bacterial small subunit ribosomal RNA", at positions 524 to 776 of the family's 1533-position model. The record is from RNAcentral.